UGUUUCGGCUAGGGGGUCAUCCCGACUUACCAACCCGAUGCAAACUACGAAUACCGAAGAAUGUUAUCACGGGAGACACACGGCGGGUGCUAACGUCCGUCGUGAAGAGGGAAACAACCCAGACCGCCAGCUAAGGUCCCAAAGUCAUGGUUAAGUGGGAAACGAUGUGGGAAGGCACAGACAGCCAGGAUGUUGGCUUAGAAGCAGCCAUCAUUUAAAGAAAGCGUAAUAGCUCACUGGUCGAGUCGGCCUGCGCGGAAGAUGUAACGGGGCUAAACCAUGCACCGAAGCUGCGGCAGCGACACUAUGUGUUGUUGGGUAGGGGAGCGUUCUGUAAGCCUGCGAAGGUGUGCUGUGAGGCAUGCUGGAGGUAUCAGAAGUGCGAAUGCUGACAUAAGUAACGAUAAAGCGGGUGAAAAGCCCGCUCGCCGGAAGACCAAGGGUUCCUGUCCAACGUUAAUCGGGGCAGGGUGAGUCGACCCCUAAGGCGAGGCCGAAAGGCGUAGUCGAUGGGAAACAGGUU
Molecule: ribosomal RNA, 523 nt
Filed under: Klebsiella pneumoniae
Lineage: Bacteria; Pseudomonadati; Pseudomonadota; Gammaproteobacteria; Enterobacterales; Enterobacteriaceae
Description: partial 23S ribosomal RNA
Rfam family: Bacterial large subunit ribosomal RNA
Source: RNAcentral